This 25-nucleotide ribosomal RNA is filed under the name Ischnocnema cf. henselii CC-2012. Its description in RNAcentral is "partial 12S ribosomal RNA". The record is from RNAcentral. Lineage: Eukaryota; Metazoa; Chordata; Amphibia; Anura; Brachycephalidae.
AGGUACCGGAAGGUGCGCUUGGCAA